UACAGAGGUCUCAAGCGUUGUUCGGAUUCAUUGGGCGUAAAGGGUGCGUAGGUGGCGCUGUAAGUCAGGUGUGAAAUUUCGGAGCUUAACUCCGAAACUGCAUUCGAUACUGCGGUGCUUGAGGACUGGAGAGGAGACUGGAAUUCAUGGUGUAGCAGUGAAAUGCGUAGAGAUCAUGAGGAAGACCAGUGGCGAAGGCGGGUCUCUGGACAGUUCCUGACACUGAGACACGAAGGCCAGGGGAGCAAACGGG
Molecule: ribosomal RNA, 253 nt
Filed under: uncultured bacterium
Lineage: Bacteria
Description: partial 16S ribosomal RNA
Rfam family: Bacterial small subunit ribosomal RNA
Source: RNAcentral